Molecule: long non-coding RNA, 884 nt
Organism: Pangasianodon hypophthalmus (striped catfish)
Lineage: Eukaryota; Metazoa; Chordata; Actinopteri; Siluriformes; Pangasiidae
Exons: 3
Source: RefSeq, a predicted model, not a curated record
AAGACAGACAUACAGUCAGAUACAGACAGACUUUUUAGCUUUCUAAUGAGGGAUUGGUGAAACGUCAAAAUCAUCCAGAUAAAACUGCGAAAACAGUUUUAGAAACAGUUAUGCCCCUACAUGAGGUAGAUCAAGUCACCAGUGAGCACAGCAGGACACUCAAGUUUGAUGCAGACACCCUAGCGUCUCUGGCAGCUCAGCAUAAAGAGACGCAUAGCAUGCUGCCAUGAUGACACCUAAAUCUGUUACAUGUAAAGUGAUCUCUGGCCAUCAUGAAAGCCAUUCCACAUGUGACUGGAGGCACAGCCUGUUCUGGCUCAGGGAGACAUGCCAAAACUAUCAGGUGUGUGUUACAGACCCCACCAUUAAACCCCACUAUGCAGAAUGACAACAAAGUCAAGAAAAUAAAUCUACUACUUCGCAAUAAGCGCAUGAAGAUGAGGUCCAAGUACGCCCAAAACUGUUCAAACUACAUUAGUCUCAUUGUCUGAAGAAGAAGGAACAGCAGACAGGGACUGUGUGAGCCUGUUAGACAUAGAAUGUUUAACAAAAAAACAGACCUUCAAAACAUUAUGUACUACAAACAAAUCCAGACUGAAGUGAACAAAAACACUACAGAGAGGUCAGCAGGCAUUGACACAGAAUGGAAAGACUACACUAUCAUUACAGCUUGUCAAUUCUGCAGCUGCCUGCACAGUCCCAUUGGUCAUGGCAUCGAUAGCAUGAGGGAGAAAGUGUGAGAAAACGGAUUAAGCGAUGCCUGUUGGGAGCUAGACAAUGCCACGCUUAUGAAUAACCUCAGACGCCUCGCGAACAAUGCCGGGUGACGCGCUACACCGCCGUCUCAUUAGAUGCUGAAUCACAAGGAGGGAAUCAAGCAGAAC